RNAcentral lists this ribosomal RNA (257 nucleotides) under uncultured soil bacterium. RNAcentral describes it as "partial 16S ribosomal RNA". It matches the Rfam family "Bacterial small subunit ribosomal RNA", at positions 26 to 283 of the family's 1533-position model. The record is from RNAcentral.
AGAUUGAACGCUGGCGGCAGGCCUAACACAUGCAAGUCGAGCGGCAGCACGGGUACUUGUACCUGGUGGCGAGCGGCGGACGGGUGAGUAAUGCCUAGGAAUCUGCCUAGUGGUGGGGGAUAACGUUCGGAAACGGACGCUAAUACCGCAUACGUCCUACGGGAGAAAGCGGGGGACCUUCGGGCCUCGCGCCAUUAGAUGAGCCUAGGUCGGAUUAGCUAGUUGGUGAGGUAAUGGCUCACCAAGGCCACGAUCCG